RNAcentral lists this non-coding RNA (269 nucleotides) under Anaerococcus vaginalis. Its description in RNAcentral is "T-box sequence". It matches the Rfam family "T-box leader". From Rfam's summary of the family: Uncharged tRNA acts as the effector for transcription antitermination of genes in the T-box leader family. Lineage: Bacteria; Bacillati; Bacillota; Tissierellia; Tissierellales; Peptoniphilaceae. The record is from RNAcentral.
AAUAAAACUUUGAUCAGAAGUAAGUAAGUUUUAUAAAUCUUUUAUAGAGAGCUUGUGUGUGGUGGAAACAAGCAAAGAAGUAAAACCGAAUGGAUCUGAGAGUGCUAAGGUGAAAAAAGUACCCGAGGCCGUCUUCCCACGUUAUAGGGAUAUGAUAUGAAAUUAUUUUAAAUUAGUAUCAGAAUAAAGAUAUGUAGGAUUUAUUAAUUUAUUGAAAUUUAUUUUACAUAAAAAGGAUGGCACCGCGAAUUCAACCAUUUGCUCCUUUG